GUGAUGAAGUCUCGGGGAGUAAAGAUGAGUGACUUGGCGGUUAUCACGCUGA
RNAcentral lists this small nucleolar RNA (52 nucleotides) under Pyrobaculum arsenaticum DSM 13514. RNAcentral describes it as "PARsR122". The record is from RNAcentral. Lineage: Archaea; Thermoproteati; Thermoproteota; Thermoprotei; Thermoproteales; Thermoproteaceae.